GACGAACGCUGGCGGCGUGCCUAAUACAUGCAAGUUGAGCGCUGAAGGUUGGUACUUGUGCCAACUGGAUGAGCAGCGAACGGGUGAGUAACGCGUGGGAAAUCUGCCUUUGAGCGGGGGACAACAUUUGGAAACGAAUGCUAAUACCGCAUAAAAACUUUAAACACAAGUUUUAAGUUUGAAAGAUGCAAUUGCAUCACUCAAAGAUGAUCCCGCGUUGUAUUAGCUAGUUGGUGAGGUAAAGGCUCACCAAGGCGAUGAUACAUAGCCGACCUGAGAGGGUGAUCGGCCACAUUGGAACUGAGCCACGGCCCAAACUCCUACGGGAGGCAGCAGUAGGGAAUCUUCGGCAAUGGACGAAAGUCUGACCGAGCAACGCCGCGUGAGUGAAGAAGGUGUUCGGAUCGUAAAACUCUGUUGGUAGAGAAGAACGUUGGUGAGAGUGGAAAGCUCAUCAAGUGACGGUAACGACCCAGAAAGGGACGGCUAACUACGU
Molecule: ribosomal RNA, 496 nt
Filed under: uncultured bacterium
Lineage: Bacteria
Description: partial 16S ribosomal RNA
Rfam family: Bacterial small subunit ribosomal RNA
Source: RNAcentral